Molecule: ribosomal RNA, 497 nt
Filed under: uncultured bacterium
Lineage: Bacteria
Description: partial 16S ribosomal RNA
Rfam family: Bacterial small subunit ribosomal RNA
Source: RNAcentral
GAUGAACGCUGGCGGCGUGCCUAAUACAUGCAAGUCGAGCGAACAGACGAGGAGCUUGCUCCUCUGACGUUAGCGGCGGACGGGUGAGUAACACGUGGAUAACCUACCUAUAAGACUGGGAUAACUUCGGGAAACCGGAGCUAAUACCGGAUAAUAUCUUGAACCGCAUGGUUCAAUAGUGAAAGUCGGUUUUGCUGUCACUUAUAGAUGGAUCCGCGCCGAAUUAGCUAGUUGGUAAGGUACCGGCUUACCAAGGCAGCGAUGCGUAGCCGACCUGAGAGGGAGAUCGGACACACUGGAUCGGAGACAGGUUCCAGACUCCCACGGGAGGCAGCCGUCGGGAAGCUUCCGCGAUGGGCGAAAGCCUGACGGAGCAACGGCGCGUGAGUGAUGAAGGUCUUCGGAUCGGAAAACUCUGUUAUUAGGGAAGAACAAAGGUGUAAGUAACUAGGCACGGCUUGACGGUACCUAAUCAGAAAGCCACGGCUAACUACGUG